Ahaetulla prasina is the source of this 746-nucleotide long non-coding RNA. RefSeq lists it as uncharacterized. The record is from RefSeq and is a predicted model, not a curated record. The transcript is spliced from 4 exons. Lineage: Eukaryota; Metazoa; Chordata; Lepidosauria; Squamata; Colubridae.
CUAUUCAAAGAGAUUUUUCUCCAUCUCCACAAACGGUUCCUGGACAGGAAGGAGGAAGAUGGAGAAAGUGCCGCCUCUGGAAACGUUGCAGCCUUUGUCUGCCAGGGAGCCACGGAGAGGGGCCUUUCCCCCUACUCCCAAGCCCAUCAUCCCCAUCCUCUCCCUUCCCCUCAGAAGCGUUCCUCUUUCCCGCGCUUUCUAGAUUGCUGGCAUUUUGAAGGCAACGUCAUGCGCUUCCCCAUUGGUCCACUGGAGGGUGAACGUCACAGCUGCCUUUCCAGAGGAGACUAGGAAGGAAAUGACAUCACAAACGCUUGCCGCUCUAGGACUCCGCACUCGCUCUCCUUAACCCCUGGGGCUCCGCAAGAGGCGGAGAGGCUGCGGGAGAGUCUGGCGGGGGGAGAUCCAGAGGUUCUCCGGAUACAGAAACUUGAAGCCAUUUGAAAUCUCUGCAGGAGAGAGAAAGGAUGGAGACACAACCUUUUGGAAAGGAGGGAGCCGGAAAGUCAGGACAGCUCAGGAGGAGAGUCUUGUGUCCAUCGAGGAGGUGGCUGUCUAUUUCUCUGAGGAGGAAUGGUCUCAGCUGGAUCCUGACCAAAAAGCGCUACAUUUGGAAGUCAUGUUUGAAAACCAUCGGAACGUAGUCUCUCUGGAAAGUCAAGGCCAUCUUGCCCUGCACCUGGGAGGCUGGAACUAGGAGGCCUGUCCAGUUGGGACUAUGCUGUAAUUGGACCAUAUGAUGGACU